RNAcentral lists this ribosomal RNA (497 nucleotides) under uncultured bacterium. RNAcentral describes it as "partial 16S ribosomal RNA". It matches the Rfam family "Bacterial small subunit ribosomal RNA", at positions 28 to 507 of the family's 1533-position model. The record is from RNAcentral.
GAUGAACGCUGGCGGCGUGCCUAAUACAUGCAAGUAGAACGCUGAAGGAAGGAGCUUGCUCUUUCCGGAUGAGUUGCGAACGGGUGAGUAACGCGUAGGUAACCUGCCUGGUAGCGGGGGAUAACUAUUGGAAACGAUAGCUAAUACCGCAUAACAGUAGAUGUUGCAUGACAACUAUUUGAAAGGGGCAAUUGCUCCACUACCAGAUGGACCUGCGUUGUAUUAGCUAGUUGGUGAGGUAACGGCUCACCAAGGCGACGAUACAUAGCCGACCUGAGAGGGUGAUCGGCCACACUGGGACUGAGACACGGCCCAGACUCCUACGGGAGGCAGCAGUAGGGAAUCUUCGGCAAUGGACGGAAGUCUGACCGAGCAACGCCGCGUGAGUGAAGAAGGUUUUCGGAUCGUAAAGCUCUGUUGUAAGAGAAGAACGAGUGUGAGAGUGGAAAGUUCACACUGUGAAGGUAUCUUACCAGAAAGGGACGGCUAACUACGUG